UGGCCUUAUGGUGUAGAGGUAAGCAUAGAAGACUUUCAAUCUUCUGACAUGGGUUCGAUUCCCAUUAAGGCUAU
RNAcentral lists this transfer RNA (74 nucleotides) under Ktedonospora formicarum. RNAcentral's name for it is "tRNA-Glu". It matches the Rfam family "tRNA". From Rfam's summary of the family: Transfer RNA (tRNA) molecules are approximately 80 nucleotides in length. Their secondary structure includes four short double-helical elements and three loops (D, anti-codon, and T loops). Further hydrogen bonds mediate the characteristic L-shaped molecular structure. tRNAs have two regions of fundamental functional importance: the anti-codon, which is responsible for specific mRNA codon recognition, and the 3' end, to which the tRNAs corresponding amino acid is attached (by aminoacyl-tRNA synthetases). tRNAs cope with the degeneracy of the genetic code in two manners: having more than one tRNA (with a specific anti-codon) for a particular amino acid; and 'wobble' base-pairing, i.e. permitting non-standard base-pairing at the 3rd anti-codon position. Lineage: Bacteria; Bacillati; Chloroflexota; Ktedonobacteria; Ktedonobacterales; Ktedonobacteraceae. The record is from RNAcentral.